Molecule: unclassified non-coding RNA, 391 nt
Filed under: soil metagenome
Description: partial contains 5.8S ribosomal RNA, internal transcribed spacer 2, and large subunit ribosomal RNA
Rfam family: 5.8S ribosomal RNA (bases 1-122)
Source: RNAcentral
GAUGAAGAACGUAGCGAAAUGCGAUACUUGGUGUGAAUUGCAGAAUCCCGUGAACCAUCGAGUCUUUGAACGCAAGUUGCGCCCGAAGCCAUUAGGCCGAGGGCACGCCUGCCUGGGCGUCACACGUCGUUGCCCCCCUAUCUACUCCUUCGGGAUUGCGGGGGGCGGAUGAUGGCCUCCCGUGCGCCUCGUCGCGCGGUUGGCCUAAAUGCCAAGUCCUCGGCGACGCACGCCACGACAAUCGGUGGUUGCGAAACCUCGGUUGCCCGUCGUGUGCGGUCGUCGCGCAUCGAGGGCUCGAAAAAAUUGCCGGGCUUCGGCUCGACUUUCAACGCGACCCCAGGUCAGGCGGGGUUACCCGCUGAAUUUAAGCAUAUCAAUAAGCGGAGGA